This 782-nucleotide long non-coding RNA is filed under the name Homo sapiens (human). RNAcentral describes it as "non-protein coding lnc-RWDD3-1:3". Lineage: Eukaryota; Metazoa; Chordata; Mammalia; Primates; Hominidae. The record is from RNAcentral.
AUGGAGAGUAUUUAAUCAUUUAAAAAGUAGGCCAAAGAGACUUAUCUCAACCAUACUGCUAAAUAGUUAUGAGCUGCAUCAUACAUAAAUUAAGUGUGCUCUAACUGGGGGUAUGGAUAGACUCUUUCUUUAGUCAAUUAAGUGUUUACAGUAUUAGUAUCUACUUUAGUUAGUUAGAGUAAAGGAAUUAAAGAGACCAUUUUGCCAGUCACCAUGAGGUGUCUCAGUGUCUGAGGAGAAUUUGUGUGAACUGUCAGCUGAAAGCAUCGACAGCUUCCCAUUAGUAAUGAAUUAUGGAAAUAAUUUUAUUAAUUUCUUCACCUCAAUCAGAACAUGUUAGUGAAAGUUGCUCAACCAAACAUCAAAGAACCAUUGCAUUUUAACCUUUUAGUCUUUUACCGUGUAACCAGGAACAGCGAAGAAAUAAAUUAGUGUAGCAUUCCUUUAAAAAAAAAAUGCCUGGAGAUAAGGAGUGGACAUAAUUUUUUCUGUUUUUAAUUUAAUAGCAGGUUUAUGGUUUUAUGCAAAGCCAUUCACAUUACAUUUGACCCUCUGGGAGCUGCUUUUUUUUUUUUUCUGUGGAUAUAAUUUUGAGUCUUUAAUAAUCUGUUGUUAAACCCAGUCUGAGUUUGAUUAAUGAAUUGUGAUGAACCGGUGCAUUAAUUUGCAGGUUUGGUCUAAUGCCCUAAAAGGCUGCUUUGUUGCUGGUUAUUAAUGCUCAACUCUUCAAGAGGAGCCAUGGGAUGGCAGUGUGUCCCAAGUAAUGAACAAGUUACACAUUU